GAGGAAUAGGCUACAGGGGCGAAAGCUUGGAUUAGAAACAAGAACUAGUUGAUUUGGGUGAGAAUUGAGAAAGCUUUGGGAUUUUUGGUGUGUGUGAGUUUGAGAGAGUUUGAGAGUUUGUGAGAGGAGGGGAGAGUGAUAGAGAUGGAGUCGCGGGGGUUGGGGGUAGGUUUAGGGUCGUCCGGUUCGGUCUAGGGUGGUUAGGAUCGGUUUACUUGAAUUAAACCGGGGUUUAGAGUUAGAAAACUUACCUGGACCGGUUCGGGAGCGACGUGAGGGUGUCGCUGCGAGAUGUCGCUCCC
Molecule: long non-coding RNA, 302 nt
Filed under: Brassica napus (rape)
Lineage: Eukaryota; Viridiplantae; Streptophyta; Magnoliopsida; Brassicales; Brassicaceae
Description: long non-coding RNA (BNAP_LNC009563)
Source: RNAcentral